This 538-nucleotide long non-coding RNA is filed under the name Apteryx rowi (Okarito brown kiwi). RNAcentral's name for it is "lncRNA (ENSARWG00000013970.1)". Lineage: Eukaryota; Metazoa; Chordata; Aves; Apterygiformes; Apterygidae. The record is from RNAcentral.
CUGAAAUGCCCAGGAAGGUAAAAAUGGAAAAAUUCAGAACCAUGUUCUGUUUAACAGAUAUGUUGGAGUUGGAGAACAAUAUUUUGAUUUCCAUAGUGAAGAAAGGAGGAAAAAGACCCCUAGCAAAGGUCACGGCUAUAUCAGCGUACUGAUCAGCCUUCCAGGAAUAUCAUUACUGCAACCAGCAUAUUCAUUGGCAAGCCAGAGGAUACCGAGGAGGGAUGGCAGCGCGCAGCCAGGCUGGGCGUCAGCAGCGCUCCCCUUGCGAGGACAGUUCGAGAGUGACACCGCGUGGACCCGGCCGGAGCCGCCGCCGCCCCCGCCGCCGCCAAAAGCGGUCAGACAGAGGAGGAAACUCGGUGCUGGUCACUGCCCGUUUCUAGAAAAAAAUUAAAAAGGCAGACGGGGAAGUAGUCCUUUGUGUUUAAUCCAGGAUUAAAGAAAACAUCUCUCUUUUUCUUUCCUAUUGCUUUCACUUAUGUAUUCAUUUUUCCCCUCUUUUUCUUUCCCCCAGGCAUUUGCUGUACUGCUGGCAGCA